CAGCAGCCGCGGGAAUACGUAGGGUGCGAGCGUUAAUCGGAAUUACUGGGCGUAAAGCGUGCGCAGGCGGUUCGUUAAGACAGAUGUGAAAUCCCCGGGCUUAACCUGGGAACUGCAUUUGUGACUGGCGAGCUAGAGUAUGGCAGAGGGGGGUAGAAUUCCACGUGUAGCAGUGAAAUGCGUAGAGAUGUGGAGGAAUACCGAUGGCGAAGGCAGCCCCCUGGGCCAAUACUGACGCUCACGCACGAAAGCGUGGGGAGCAAACAGGAUUAGAUACCCGCGUAGUCCCUGUCUCUUAUAC
RNAcentral lists this ribosomal RNA (301 nucleotides) under uncultured bacterium. RNAcentral's name for it is "partial 16S ribosomal RNA". It matches the Rfam family "Bacterial small subunit ribosomal RNA", at positions 509 to 807 of the family's 1533-position model. The record is from RNAcentral.